GAAUUGGUGCUGCAAGCGGCAGCGUUCUGGUGUUCUCUAUUUCUAUAUAAAGAAGAUACAUGCAGCUCUACAUGGUUACUAAAUCACGGCACGCUCGUGAUCGGCUCCUGCCAUCCCAGCACCCUGGGCCGUGCCGUGAAGGACGCGCGACAGCGCGGCGUACGCGAGCAAAAGACAGGCGAUCGCGCACUAAUCUACUUCCUAGAAAAUAGAAGAUGCUAUCCUGGGCUUACUAUAACAAUCUCCUCCUAAGCCCUGGAGUACAAUUACACAAGAUUUUUCAUGCCGAUUCCACCCCGAAGCUCCUGGAACCGGCUACGACCGAGCGCCUUCGUGAGGAUGUCGCCCAGCUGUAGUUCAGUGCCGACGAACUCGACGUCGAUCAGCUUCCUGUCGCAGCAUUCCCGGAUGAAGUGGAACUUCACGUCUAUAUGCUUACUCCGGUCAUGAUGCACAGGGUUUUUCAUCAAAGCGAUGGCGGACUUGUUGUCCACCUUGAGCCUAGGUGCGAGGGUCGCUCCUCCGACGAGCUCAGCCAGUAACCGCGCCAGCCAGGCUGCCUCGCACGCAGCCGCAGCGGCUGCGAUGUACUCUGCUUCGCAAGAAGACAGAGCAACCACCUUCUGUUUCGCCGAUUGCCAGGCAACCGGCCCUCCCGCUAGGAAGAAGAUGAGGCCGCUGGUGCUCUUCCGGUCAUUGACAUCACCGGCUAAGUCGCUGUCGGAGUAGCCCAGCAGCUUUGGAGUGCCUCCGUCCUUCUUUCCCGGGUGGUAGUGCAAGCCCCAGUGCAGCGUCCCCGCCACAUAACGAAGGACUCGCUUGACUGCAGCGAGGUGCUCUUGACGUGGUGCCUCCAUGAACCGGCUAAGGUACCCCACCGGAUACGCCAAGUCCGGCCUAGAGUUGCACAGGUACCUGAGGCUGCCGAUAAGACUGCGGUACUCCGUGGCAUCCACGCUCGGCGUCGUCCCUUCUUUGAGCAAUUUCAACUUCGGCUCCAUGGGUGUGGCGCUGGUAUUGCAGCCUCCCAGUCCCGCCUUCUCAAGGAUCUUGCCGGCGUAGGCAGACUGACGAAGCGUGAUCCCGGCUGCUCCCUGUGUCACCUCCAGGCCGAGGUAAUAUGAGAGAAGCCCGAGAUCACUCAUGCGGAAGGUGCUCAUCAUCUGGGCCUUGAACUUGUUCACAGCCCCUGCGUCGCCACCGGUGAUGAUUAAAUCAUCAACGUAGACGCCCACGAUCAGGCGCCCUGCGCCCUUCCCGCGAGUGUACAUCCCGUGCUCGUCGAUGCAGCGAGUGAAGCCGAGCCUGAUCAGCGAAGCAUCAAGCUUCUGAUUCCAGGCUCGUGGAGCCUGGCGGAGCCCGUACAGCGCCUUGUGAAGGCGAAGCACCUUGUGCUUGUUCUUGCCAUCGAUGAAGCCGGGGGGCUGUUGGACAUAGACCUCCUCCUGGAGCUCCCCGUUCAGGAACGCCGAUUUGACGUCCAUGUGGUGGACGCCCCAGCCGUAGUGCGCUGCAAUGGCGAGGAGCAGGCGCACUGAUUCCUGCCGCGCGACGGGGGCGAAGGCCUCUUCAUAGUCGAUGCCGGGCCGUUGCACGUACCCCUUCGCGACGAGACGAGCCUUGUACUUGACAAUGGCCCCAUUCUCGUCCCGCUUCACCUUAUACACCCAUUUGAGGCCGAUGGCGUGGUGGCCGCGCGGGAGCUCGGCAAGCACCCAAGUGUCGUUGUCGCGGAUCGACUUGAGCUCCUCCUCCAUUGCGGCGUUCCAGUUCGGAUCACCAUCGGCGUCCUUGAAGGACUUGGGUUCCUCCACACUGACAUUGUGCAGCUCAGCAUCCUCAAUGAUGCGUUGAGCCAGUCCGGGCACAGUAUUCGUGCCAAGGACGUUCUCAAGCGUUCUGUACCGGUGCUCCAGAUCCUUGUCGUCAUCUGCGUCGAGGUUGUGGUCAGUGGUGAGCGGUGUCACAAACUCGACCUGCACCCCCGUGGGGAUGCUGGGAGUUGCUGGUGACGAUGACACCGGCUGUGCCUCCGGCGUGGGCGGAGAUCCUGGAGUAGGCGGAGGUGAAGCAGCUGUCCUCGCGGUUGAUGCCGCUGAGGGCUCCCGCCUGAGCUCGUACUCAUACUCGACGGUGAACGGUUCCUGGUCGCCACUUGAUGACGCCUCGGUCCACUCCCAGCGCGCGCCUUCAUCGAAGACGGCGUCGCGUGAGACGUGGACACGAUCAGUGGUGGGGUCGAGGAAGCGGUACGCCUUCGAUCCACUCUCGUACCCGAUGAAGACAACCUUCUGGCCCCGGUCAUCGAGCUUGCUGGGAUGUGGACGGAGGUGCUUGAUGUAGGCGAUGCACCCGAACACUUUGAGGAAGUGCACGGGUGGCUUCUUGCCGUACCACGCCUGGUACGGGGUCAGGCCAUCGAGCGCGCUCGUCGGUGCUCGGUUGAGCAGGAACACGGCGGUGUGAACCGCCUCCCCCCAGAAGCGGCCAGGCAUGCCGCGGGCGCGCAGGAUGCUCCUGGCCGUGCCCACGAUCAUUUGGUUCCGGCGCUCGACGACGCCGUUUUGUUGAGGUGAGUACGGUGCCGAGUGAUGUCGCUGGAUGCCUUCACCUGCACAGUAUUCACCAAAUUCCACUGAGGUGAACUCACCACCAUUAUCGGUGCGAAGCACCUUCAGCUUCUUUCCACAUUCACGCUCGACGCGUGCCUGGAAAGCGAUGAUCGCCGCCGGUGCGUCUGCCUUGGAGCGCAGGAGGGUGAGCCACAUGAAGCGACUCAUGUCAUCCACCAGCAGCAGGAAGUAGAGGUUGCCAGCUGGAGUUGGUGGCGAGAUGGGGCCGCACAAGUCUCCAUGUACGAGCUCAAGCUCCUCCUGAGCUCGGUACUUGGCUGCCCGGGGGAACGGCGUGCGCUUCUGCUUCGCCAGAAUGCAGUCCUCGCAGAUUUGAUCCACGUGAUCAAUCACGGGCAGCCCACGCACCAUGUCGCCGCGCCCAAGCUUGCGGAGCGCCUGGAAAUUGAGGUGGCCGUAGCGCUCGUGCCAGCGCCAUGCCACAUCUCCGACACGCGCAGUGAGACACACCGGCGCAGCAAUCUUCAUGUCGAGGAGGUAAAGCCGGCUUGGGGACCGGUGUACCUUCGCCAGCAGUUGACGCUGCUGGUCGUAGAGGCGCAGUACGCCCCCCUCGAUGUUGACCUUGAAGCCGUCCUCGUCCAUUUGGCCGAGGCUAAUGAUGCUGGUGGUGAGGCGAGGAAUGUAGUAGACGCCGUCUAGCAGACGAUGCUCGCCGGUCUUGCAGACGAACAACACCGUCCCCUUGCCUUGGAUCUCAACCACCGAGCCGUCCCCGAACCUGACGGUCCCCGUGACGCCUGCAUCCAGCUCGGCGAAAAUGGAGCGUGUACCCGUCAUAUGGUUCGUCGCCCCGGUAUCCAACACCCAGCGACGAGAGACCACACUCUCCUCCUCUUGGCUGAGGUGGAGGUGCACCUUUGGUUCAUCGAGGUGGAGCGGCGACCUAACAUGAGAACACGUUAUGGCCGGCGUUUUUACCUCAAUGUCAGCGGCGAUGUACAUGAGCGCGUGCUCAUCUUCCUCAGCCUGCGCGACGUGCGCCGCGCCUUUCUUCUUCCCGCGACAGUCUUUGGCCCAGUGGCCCUUCUUGCCGCAGUUAUUGCAGAGGGUGCCAGGCAGUGGCUUCCCACCACCGGCGUUCCCGUUCCUCGCGUUCUGGCCGUCAUGGCCAUCACGUGGUGUGCACCCUGCGCCGCCACGACCGCGUCCGCGCCCUUGGCGCUUGCCGCGGCUGCUGGAGCUCAUGCCGCCACCGGAGCUCUCCUGAUCACGGCGUGCCUUGCGAUGAGCCUCCCAGUCUUCCUCGCAGAGCAUCAGGCGCCCCAUAGCAUCCGUGAUCUCCUUUGGCUUGGCCCGUUCCUCGAACACGCGCAGCCGCCCGAUGACCUCCUCGAUCGACACUCUGUUCAGAUCGAGGAACAUCUCGAGGGAGACCGCGGCCUGGGACAGCCGAUCUGGGACCACCUGCAACAAUUUCUUCACUACCUCGGCGUCCGUGAUGUUGUCACCGAGGGUGCGUAGGUUGGUGGCGAGUGUCGUGAUGCGGAUCCCGAACUCGGUGACGCCCUCGCCCUCCUUGAAGGUGAGGAUGCCGAAUUCGCGGCGAAGCUGCUGCGCGCUGGCGUCGCGCGCGCGAUCGUCCCCGAUCCGCAACACCUUGACCGCGUCCCAUGCCUCCUUCACGGUCCGCUUCCGGGCGAGGGUGCUCCACAUCUCGGAUGGAACCGAGCGCAGAAGGCCGGCCAUCGCCUGGCGAUCGUCGUGGUAUUCGUCUUCGUCGGGGUCGUCGUUGAUGCCGAGAUCGACGGCGUCCCAGACGCGGAGGGUCUGGAAAUUGACUUCCAUGACCAGCGCCCAUUCUGGAUAAUUCGUCCGGGUCAGCAUCGGCCACGCGACGUUCGCGGACGGCCGCUCGAUGAUGCGCUCGACGACGCGCGAACCAUCCCGGUUGCGCGAUCGGCGGCCUUGGGAGCGGCCACGGCGACGUGGCGGCGAAUGCGACUGCUGGACCUUCUUCUCGCCGGAGCCAUCACCCGUCUCCCUCUUGACCGGAGACUUCGACGACAUGGCGACGGCGAGAAUCGGCUCUGAUGCCAAAUGACAGAACUCCGAAUAUACGUACACGAACACGAAGUGGCCAAUGAGAAUUGGUGCUGCAAGCGGCAGCGUUCUGGUGUUCUCUAUUUCUAUAUAAAGAAGAUACAUGCAGCUCUACAUGGUUACUAAAUCACGGCACGCUCGUGAUCGGCUCCUGCCAGCCGUCGACGACGGGAACAAUACCCUGCUCGACUUCCGCGCCUUCCUGCGGUCCGCCUUCUCGCUGCUGCCGGUGCCGGCGCCCAUGGUGGCGGCGAAGCCGAGGCUGAUGCUGGUGGACCGGCACAAGACGCGCAGGUUCGUGAACACGCCGGAGAUCUGGUGACCGUGGAGCCGCGGCACAGCAGCGGCGAGGGCGCCGCCGCGGAGGAGCUCUCGGCGCUGGCCCGCCUCGCGGACUCGUGCGACGUGCUGGUGGGCGCGCACGGCGCGGGGCUGACGCACCUCCUGUUCCUCCGCUCCGGGUCCGUGGUCGUCGAGGUGGUGCCGUACGGCCUCGCCGGGGUGGCGUCCACGUACCGGGACUUCUUCGAGCGGCCGGCGCGGGCGCUGCGGCUCCGGUACGUCGGCUACGACUCUACGAGGUGGCCGCGGAGGAGAGCACGCUGCUGGAGAGGUACGGCGCGGCGCACCCGGUGAUCAGCGACCCCGUGGGCGUGUACCGGCGCGGCGAGGCGGAGGGGAAGCCCUACGCGUUCAGGCACUACUGGAACGAGCAGGACAUCCGGCUCAACGUCACCACCAGGUUCGGCGCUGUCCUGGCGAGGGGCGUCGGCACGUCGUCGCCCAUCGGCGACGGCUCAAGUAGUGCGUGCCGGUCGAGGCCCUGGUAUUCCACAGUGUCCUAUUGUUGUGCCACCGAAAUGCCAAAGCCCUCGAAUAGUCAAAUGCGUUCCUUGUUUGUAGCAUGUUUUAGCACGGCAAUGACUGGAUGGAUCUUACUCCAAGAUUCAAACUAUUAUAAGACCGUCUCCAAUAGUAUAAGUCAGCUGAUAGCUCAUAGUUAAUGUUGGUCUCAUAUACAUGGUAGGCUGGUUAGAUCGUGUUAUGAGGGAGAAUUGCAUUGAAAAGUGAGCGAGACUAGCUUUUCACUUGCUAGUCUCGUACUUAUCGCACUGUUUUAACUAGUAAAAAAUUGAUUGAGCUAGCUCUAAGCUAGACUAUUGGAGAGGCAGCACAGAAGGAAUUCAACACAAUAACGCUUAAUUUUUUAGAGGUGGUAGUGGUAGGCAACUAGGCAUAGGCAACUAGAACAUCAUGUUUAGCCCCUAUAGCUGCUUUGACAUUUGCUGGAAACUUUAGAGGUAAGGAUUUUUUUUUGUGUUCUUUCAAUUUGGCUGUGAUUUGGGAGCGAUAGAUUUGUCAAGAGCACAUUCCCCAAACCACUUUAUCACCUAAGCUCAUUAGAUUUGGAUUUCUAAAAAAACUAAUCAUUUGGUACCCCUCAAAACAUUGUGAGCGUCUAUCGUCUGUACAAUGUCACAAGCGCACACACACUCAACCUUAUGAAUACACGCACGUAACCCUACCCAUAUGAGCACAUCCAAAAGACUGAGCUGGCAGAUACUCAAGAUUGACGAAGUCACCACUGGUACCUCGCUAUUACUUGGCACGUCGCCUACUAUUAAUAAUUGCCAUACGACCCUAUGAAGAUCACAUGCAUGUUGCUCAACAGUGGUUCCUUGUCAAGUGGCCGAGCUGUAUCUUGGCCUACCGCUAUCGGUCUAUCGGUACUUCACUGUAAAGAAAGUUGUGGAAAGCAGACAUCCAACCACUAAUGGAUGUAGUUGCGGACUAAAGUUGCUGACUUGAAAAUCGGGUCUCCUGCUCCUCUGGAGGGCAGCUUACCUUAACGAACACGAAUCUCACCUUGAUCACGGUCUUCACUAUGUCGAUCCUCUUACCAGGGUGGGCUAUCAAGGCGAUCGGCAAGCUUCCUUAGGCAUUUCUGUGGCGGGGCUCAGAAGUUGAGUUGGACGGACAUUGUCUAGUGACAUGGCCACGAGUUUGUAAACCUCCGGAGCUUGGCGGCUUAGGUCAGUUCAACCUCAAGAUUCUAGGUUGGGGCUUGCCAACUCGCUGGGCAUGGCUCAAACAUAUUUUGAUUUUUCUAGAUAUAUGGUAUAUCUAGAUGCAUAGUAUAAAUCACGUACCAAAAAAAUCAAAACGAAUUGUAACUUACAACAUAAGGAGUACAUAACAUAACCGUGGUUUGACUUGCCGGCAACAAAUGAAAAGGAGAUGGUCGCUUUGUUUGACCCUUCACUUAUGUCGUUGUGAAUCGUCAUUACUAUUUUGGAUGGACUGUUGGUUUGAUGGUUGUUCGGUUGCACAAGUGGCACCAAACACUAUGCAAGCUAUUAGAUGGGUUCGGGAUAUAGGGGCUCUCAUGGUGCAAGUACUAGCAGAGCAUUUAAGAUUGUAGGACCAAAUGCAGGAAAUCUAUCCAUCUCACUCCAAACACCGUUGGCCACUUUUGUGCAUAUUGCAAAUUGCCUACUAGCAUAGUACUAUCUCCAUUUCAAAUUCUAAGUUAUUCCAACUUUCUUGAAAAGUCAAACUAUUUUAUGUUUGAUCAAAAUUAUAGAAAGGAUCACAAAAGUGUACGGGGCGUGGACUGGAAGGCUGCAGCGGUCGAGCAGACCGCGGACGAAGGUGUCGACCGUAGAGGACGGUAGGCUCGGGUGGAACGGGAAGAAAAGGUAAGGAUGAGAAUGAAUAACACGGGAGCCGUUUGAUCGCAAUCUAACAGCCAAUAUCAGUGACUGACGGAAAACCAAAAAAUCAAUCGACUGGCAAGGAGACACAUCCAAAAAAAAGUUACUCAUUCUUUUAUCUGUAUGCGAGCAUAAAUUAACUUUGGUUUUGGUUGAAGAAGUUGACCAAUAGAGUCCAUGUACUACAAGUAAGGACUCCAGAUGGGAGGAACCAUUCCCACUGAACUCAAGCUUUUUUUUUCUUAUUGAAUAUGCAAAAGAGUUGUGCAUCUUUGUAUUAAGAAAGGAGUACCGACGUUACAACAAUGCGCAAUGGAAGCAUGUGCCGAGAAAUUAAGGUGCUAUUACAAAACAAAACAACCAGAGGAUCGGAGGGAGGGAAACACAGCUAAUCCUGAGCCAACUUACUCGCUAAAGAGGCAAAACCCAGGUUUUUUUCUCCCGCCAUGAUCCAAAGUUGGCCCUCCAUCUUGAUCUGCAUGAGCAGCUGGCCGAUCUGCAUAUGCUCUCCACGGAAAAUAUGUGCGUUGUGCUACUUCCAAACCCUUCAUGUUUUUUUUCUAAGAUGUGCAUAGCAUGUUUUUCAUUAAGAAGAAGAGAGAGUUACAACGAUGCAAAAGACCCCAAAUCACAGAGUUACAAAUUACAAAAACCACCACUUGCGACCAGCAAUAGAGAUACAACAAUAGAAAAGGAGGCUACAACACCACCACCACACCCAACACGACCUAAGAUGACUCAAACCUGCAAGAGAUAAGGACACCAUGAACACAAGCACAUCACCGAUUGCCUAACAACCCGGAGCUAGCGAAGGUAGAGCGAGAAUGUCAUGAUGAUGCCUCCAAGGGGGAAGCGACGUCGAUGCCGCCAUCGUCCGUCUGUCCAUGGAGGAGCAAACUAAGUCUUCACCUGGCAAAACCAAAUGGAUUUGGUGGUCGCAACAACGCUCCCAGUGAGGUGAGCUACAUUAAGGAACGCAACCAUUGUUGGCACCAACGAAUGUUGGGCAAAGCUUUCGCUCAGGCUCCCAAAACCAACUCCACGCAACAAACCACCAAGGGUUGGAUGAAAGCCAAAUCGAUGGGAUGGCCACGAGCAAUCCACGAUGAUGACUAUGGGGAACAUCCGCAGGCUAGCGACCGCCAUCACGACGACCCAAAGACGACCAAAGCGAUCGCGAUGACCAAAUUAAAAGACAAUCAUGGGGGAGAAGGGUGGAGCUGAUGCCCUCCCUCCUUCCAGCAACACUUGACGGCGACGUUUGGGGACGACUCGUUGAAGCGGCAACCCGAACACCAUGGAGAGGAUGAAGACCCAUCCUCCCAAUCCUACCAGCGAAGAAGAUGGCUGGAGGGGGCAUGGCCCCAUGAGUGACAACCGGGAGCAACCCAAGAGCGAGCGCCACUGCCGUAGGGUGGAAGGAGAGGGGAGCGAGGGAGAUGACCAAGAGGCAGUAGGGAAGAAUGACUACGGGGCCACUGGAGCACCCUUGGGCGAUUUGGUAACCGGCGGCCCGAAGCUGCCCAUGCCACUGGAGGAAGAGCGGGGGUGUGGGGUGCGGUAGCCGAGGGGGAGAGGUAGAGAGGGAAAAAAAAGGAGCGACCUUGGGCCACGCCGAUGCCACUGGAUCGUGGAUCCUGCAUCGGUGAGAGGGAUCUGGUGACCGGCGGGCCAGGAGACCGCCACCACUAGUCGGCAGGCAGUCCUCCAAGCCGCAGGCGUCGGGCGCCGUUCCCUAUCGCCCCACCAUAGGAGCGCUAGGGGACAAGGGUGUCGACGGCAGGGGCGGCCACAAGAGGGCGAGACCGCGGGCCAGGUCGCAGCAAGAGCGUGGCGGCCCCGACCUGCUGGUGCGUGCACGCACGGCGAUGCCAACCGCAACCUGCCCGUCGCAGGCGCCUAUGCUAGGGCGUCCACCGCAGAUGUGCCGGCGAAGGGGCGGAGAUCUGCCACCAAGCACAGAGGAGACGAAUCCCGACCAUGAGAGCGCAGAUCCAAGGCCAGGGCAGGUGGAUCCAGCGGGGAGGGCCUCAGCACUACCUUGGUGGCGGCUAGGGUUAGGGCGAGCGGAGAGCGACCUUGGCGCGAUGGGGUUGAAGGGAGGAGAGGGAGAGGGAAGGGGAUAAGGGAGGGGCGUGCGCAGCUGCCGGCUUCGACGCCACUGCCAGGCGGCCUGGGCGAGCCUCUAGCGGCGCGGGAUAGGAGCCCCCGAGUCGCCCUCGGGAGAGAGCGACACGAGGGCCAAACCCUUCAUGUGACGAGAGCAAAGAGUAGAUCGAAUCCUUUCUUCUCCGAUUGCCACAAGCAUCUCACUUGUCUCUACCAGUCCUCCAUCGCAGGGGUGAACCUAGGAAAUGGUUGGGAGGGAGGCUGAUCCUAGCUUAUGAGGAGCUCAAGUGUUUUUCAUCUUUAGUUUUUGCAUAAUUUUGCUUGGAGCUCUGUUGAUUUUUAGACCAUGGACCCAGGCUGCAGCUCGGGUCCUGGAUCUGCCACUGCUCCAUCGUGUCGUGCUCAUGGUGGGAUGGAAACCGGCGACCCAAAGCAGCAAUGAUCGUUGCCCAAACCGGAAUCCCUCUGCAGUCAAGUUCAUGAACGUAUGUCUGCAGUCACGUUUCAUCGUCCUGCCUUGUGAAUUCGAAAGAGCAAUGCGUGAACAGGUGAUUACUUGUUUCCGGCUCCUGAUCGCAAAUAUCUCGGUUCGUGCACACUUCAUCGCAGACAGCACCAGCAGUGCAUGUGGUCGCACCGACGCCGCCAUGGACGCAUCCCUCGCUGCUUGCGCCGCACCUAUUCGAGUACGUGCUGACCUCCGAGGCUCCUUGGUCGCUCCACCGGCGGCUGAGCUCGGGCAGGCGCCUAGGGUCGCCGCUCCUGAAUGGCUUGAGACUUGACCUAUUAACAAAUCAGCUCUCUUUCCAUAAAGAUUGAUGAUAUGGCUCCACCGGCGGAAGCAUUUACCUGCUCGAGAGGCAUGGCCCGUGCGUGUUCUAUGUGAUGGCGCGAGCUUUGUUAGGAGCACUAGUUCAUUGGGUCACUGUAAUAAUCUUGCAAAUAGUCUAAGACACUUCUUGUAUUUUUUUUAUAAAGACGACACAUCUAGUUAGGACUUAGGACUACCAUGAGAGACAAGCAAGUACCUGAGUCAUUUGUUCUUCCUGUACGACUCCAAUAUUAGCUACAUUAAUGGUGGAUCAGCCGAUCAGGUAAUGGUGUUUUGUGAAACAUUAUCUGCUCAGGAUAUUUGCAACAAGGUCUGAUGGAUGCCACUAUACCACAACCCCUCUAUACCGAUUGCAUUGGCGUCGGUAUAAGCCUAUGUACCGACCCACCAUCGGUCGGUAUAGAGUUAUACCGACUCCUCAUAGCAGUCACUGUAAGUGGUGUACCAACCGAUAUCGCUAUAUCGACAUGCUCCCUGGAGAUGCAUAUACACCGAGUGAUAGUGGGUUACAGGUUUUUACCGGCCAACAGUUUAAAGAUAUAAAUUUCUAUACCGACUAACAAUCCAAUGCUAAUCAUUCAUAUGAACCUAGAAAAUUAUAUAUAUAAUAAUAACCUCACACUAACCGUCCAAUAUCAAUCUUUUGAACAUUACAUAUGAAACAGUUAGCUAGACAGAGCUCAUAGAUUUGAAGCUAACAGACAUCAAACACACAAGUGAACAUAUAUAACUUAGUUUUCAUUGAAGACAACAGCAUUUGUCUUGCCACUAAGCUCAGUCAACCUCAUAUAUUUGGCUUGUCACAGCUUACAGUUCAAGCAAACAGCCACAUUAAAAAAAGAAGAGAGGCAGCCAACCUAGACCAAAUCAGUCUCUACACAGCCAUAAGUUUGGCUUGUCACAACACACAUGUGAUGUUUGGCUACACAAUUACGCAAACUCAUCACAUGACACAACAAAAAUGUCUCAAAUCUGUCCAAAACAAAAUAGCAUCGGCGAGCACUGAUCCGCUUGCCACCGACAAACUUUGUAAACUUUGACAUUCAAAAAUGUUUUGAACAAACCAUUGUUUUCAGUUCUUUCCAAAUACAUCUUUCUUGAACUAUAUUAGAGAGGUACUACUCUGCUUGGAAAAGAAUGUUUAUUUUUAAAGAGGCAACCGACAAGAUUUGCCGCACAUAUAUUGACAGAGAAGGAACAACUUACAAAUCUUUGAAAAAGGAAUAACUUACAACAAGAUAAACAGACAAGACAAGCCACCAUAACAGGGCACGACUAACCGACAAAUCCACUACUGCAAUGACAGCGAAACCACUGCUGCAAUGGCCUGAUUAUCAUGGAUCUGCUCCCUGACAUUUUUAGGGAGUUUCCCUAUACUGCUUGUUACAUAUAAAUACUUGAAGUUUGUUUUACAUGUAGAUACUCGAAGUUUACGUGUACAUUUGAACAUAUCCGUUUGAGCUCCUCCACAAGCGGAUGGCGAGGCAUGGAAGGGGAAGUCAUCAAAUAAAGAGGAAGUCAUGAAAUAAAGCGACAAUGUUUCUGUUCCGGCACACAGCACACUACACUUGCCAUGCACCACAUCACACCCAAGGCGAAACGACCAGACCGAAACAUAACGUGCUAACAAAAGCUCAUCAUCAAUUAGACAAUUAUUACAGAGAAUGAUUGGUUAGCUUUAAAAUCAUGUCGAGUUUUGCCGAUUAAAUGCUAGUAGGUCCAACUACCGGUUCUGGUGGCUGCUCCAUCAAUCAGGAUUGUGUGCGGAGGCUGUAGGAGAUAGAACGUAAAGGCUGUGUCCAUAUUUUCGACUGCAUGGCCGACCAUCCUACUCAUCCUUAUCAUGUCUCAUAGCAAUAUUUUAAGGAACAACGAGGGGCCAGCGGCCCACCUGAACUUCUUCUCAUUGCAACGAAAGGGAGGGACGAACCCAAGUACAGCAAGCAAAUAAGCAUACAAAAGGAAGGCGGAAAGCUAGAGUUAAUUUACAUUUGCCAAGGAGCGGCACCAGGACGAUAAGGCUCCUGAAAGGGAGAUGAGUUUAUCCCAUAACACUCAUCAGUCCUUAUAAAUAUGAUAGCAGGACCUGAAUGUAAGUCGUGCAGAGCCAGAGCCGUGCGUGUUGGCCAAUUGGGAGGUAGAGACGACGCAGAACAAUGGAGGCCGCUGCCGCCAAGCUCGUCAUCAGGGAGAAGAUCACGGGCGCCACCGCGGCCGUGUUCGCGGGCUCCGUCGAGAUCCCCGAGAAGUUCAUCAGGACCACGGAGGUCCAGGAAGCCGGUGCCGUCGUCAGCGAGGACGAGGUGUUCGAGCUACCGGUGGUAGACAUGGCAAAGCUUCUUGAUCCGGAGCUGUCGGCGUCAGAGACGGCAAAGCUUGGCUCCGCGUGCAGAGACUGGGGUUUCUUUCAGGUUAGGACGAUCCUACAUAUACAUGUAUCCAGAAUAUAGAUGAAAUCCUUCCUUUUCUUUCUGCCAGCUAACACACCAUGGGGUAGACGAAGCCGCGAUGCAGCAGAUGAAGGACAGCGCCGCGCAGUUCUUCGGCCUGCCACUGGAGAGCAAGAACUCGGUUGCAGUACGAGAUGGUGGUUUCCAAGGAUUUGGCCACCAUGUGAACGCGUCUUCAGGCGAUAAGAUAGACUGGGCGGAGAACAUGUUCCUCUUCACGGAGCCAGUCCAAGACAGGGACAUGGACUUGUGGCCUGCGAACCCACCCACAUUCAGGUGUGUCAAUUUUCUUUUCCGGUUGUUCUGAUUAGAUUUAAUUCAUGGCAUUGAUCGAUUCUCGUCGACCUGCUCCCUCGAUCCUAGGCAUGCCCUCGACAGCUACUCCGUCGAGAUCAGCAACCUUGCAAGGCGCCUGCUGGGAUUCAUGGCAACUGAUCUUGGAGUCAGUCAAGAGGCGCUCCAAGGGGCUUUCUUCGGCGGCGGCGACGCAGACGACGACACCGGGAGGCAGCCGAAGCAGCAGUGCACGGCCAUGCACUAUUACCCUCCGUGCCGUCACCCGGAGAAGGUGCUGGGCUCACUGCCACACACCGACACCCUGGGCCUGACCGUGCUGAUGCAGGUCGACGACACGCCGGGCCUGCAGAUCAAGAGGGGCGGCCGGUGGAUCCCCCUGCGGCCGCUGCUGGGCGCCGUUGUCGUCAUCGUCGGCGACAUCCUCGACGUCCUCACCAACGGCACCUACGUCAGCGUCGAGCACAGGGUGGUCCCGGACGCCGAGAGAGGCCGGACCAGCGUGGUGAUGUUCCACGAAGCCUCGGUUCAAGGGUUCGUGACGCCGCUCCCGGAGCUCCUCACCGGAGGCGAGGCACGGCCACGCUAUAGAUCCAUCGGAACACUGGAGUACAGAAAGGGCAGUAGCAGAGCACUGGCGCAAGGGAGACGGUUCGUGGACACCCUCAGAAUGUAAAGAACCGCGCAGCAACUUCGAUUGCUGUCCUGAAUCCUGAUCGAGAUGAACGUACGUACCUCCCGUGCCCCUAUAUAUGUGUACCGAAAUAAAGAAUCCUUAUAAUUUGUGCAAUGCAAUAUAUGCAUGAACCCUCAUUUUUAGAUUCCAUUUACCUUCAUACUACCUUCUAAACUUUGACGUUGAUAUAUGUUCAAAACGGUGGAUAUUUGUUGUACUAUGUGAGUUUGCAUUGCUUGACUGAAUUUUUUUUAGAUCCGACACUUUGUGACCGCAUACAACAAAUUUUCAUAAUAUUCUCAGCACAAGCACUGAUCAUCAAUAUAAUAAUAUUAAGAAAAAGAGCACACAAAUAAGAUAAAGUAAUCAUAUGAAGUCUACUACUAUUAUUAUUAUUUCUUCAUCCACUCUUAGUGAAAAUGUCAAAAGAAUGACCUCCAGUGUUCUUCUUACUAGAUGUAUUGUCUCCCGCGUGUUCUUAUAUUGCAACAGUGCCUAUAAUUAUUGCAACAGUGCCCAAAAUUAUAGGCAAUAACUUUUCCAAAAGUAGUAUCUGCAUAAAGAAAGUGAAUCUUUUUUUCUCGAAAAUCAAAUCAUUACGAGUACACCAAAUUGCCCACGUUAAACCUGCGAACCCACUCACAUUCAGGUGUGUCAAUUUUCUUCAAUGGUUCCGAUUAGAUUUAUUAAUUGGUGGCCUGAUUAUAAUCGAUUUGCUCCCCGAUGCCCUCCUACUCCUAGUCAUGGAGUUCGACAGCUACUCCAUCGAGAUCAGCAACCUUGCAAGGCACCUGCUGGGAUUCAUGGCAACUGACCUUGGAGUCAGUUAAGAGGCGCUGCGAGGUAUCUUCUUUGGCGGCGGCGACCAAGACAAUGACGACACCAAGGGGCAGAUCGUAUCCAUGCACCACUACCCUCCGUGCUGGCAUCGGGACAAGGUGGUGGGCAUCACGCCGCACACCGACACCAUGGGCUGCCUGACCUGCAAAUCAAGAGGGGUGGCAGGUGGUUCCCGUGCAUCCGCUGCCGGGUGCCCUGGUCGUCAACGUCGGCGACGUCCUCACCAACGGCGCCUACGCCAGCGUCAAGCACAUGGUGGUCCUCGACGCCGAGAGGAGCCGCACCACCGUGGCGAUGUUCCACGACGCUUGUGUUGGAGGCCUGGUGACGCCGCUACCGGAGCUCCUCAGGGGAUGCGACACACGGCCACGCUAUAGGUACAUCAGGAAACUCGAGUACAGAAAUGGCAGCACUGGAGCACUGGCCCAAAGGAGACGGUAUGUGGACAGCUUUUUUAGGUACAUACGCACACAGCUGCACACAUCACACUCACACCGCACGAACACACAUACGUGCGUGUCCAUAUAUACACACACUAGAUGUGCGUGUCCAUACACACACUAGAGAAGAGAUUGGAGAGGUAACUGUCCUCGUUGCGUGGGAAAGCACAGUACUACUCAACACGCACGCUUGUGUCGAGAAAAAAAAUCCUGAAAAACUCGAAGGAAUUCGUCCCACUGCGAUCAAACCCACGACCUCGUUUGGAGGCUGGCGCUACUGAGGCCAGUUUGCAAGGUACGUGGACAUCCUGAUGAUAUAGCUAGAAAGCUAUCGAUGACUCUGAGUCCAAGAGCAAUUUCGGACAAAUGAAUGGUGUGCUUAUUCAAGUUCAGUGCAGUGCAUGGUAUACCUCCCAUUCCAAUAUCUCAAUCUAAUAAUAAAUAAUAACAUAAAUAUAAUAUAAAGUACGGAAGAAAUCCUUCACACCUUCUGCCAGCUUCUUUUUGGUACGUUGUUUUCUCCGUAUGCGAUGAGAAACUUUGAUUCUUGCCGGAGAAGUCGACCAAUAGAGUCCAUGUACUGCAUACAAGGACUCCAUGACCCUAGGACCCUAUUUGGUACAGCGUGUGGGUGGAAGCUCUUCUCGAACAAGCUGUAAAAAUAUGGAAACAACACUUCAAUGAGAAGCAGGUAUGAUCCAGCUUUUGCAUUUCAAUAUAAAUAGAAGUGAUGAGGGAGAAGUGCAGCCAGAGGAAGACACAGAAAACGCACUAUUUGCCUGCUAAUUUUAGCUUAUUUUGGCCAUAAGUAGGAUUUAAGCUGUUCGAAACAAGAUCUAGGUACAACACACAAGGAAAAAAAUUCAAAUAUGAGACGGGAAGAGAAAUCGGAUAAUUAAAAAUAAUCGAAUCUCAGCGCACAAUAGCCCUAUCGCCGGAGGAGGUAGAAGAACAUGUCCCGUAAAGACGCCGCUGGCAAAAGGCAUCACGAUAAGCGCAACGGUGCUAAUAAUGAACACAGAGACGAAAAGCGCCAGCAAAGAGGAUGGCCAUGAGCCCCGCUUGGGAACUGCUCCUGCGGCUACUCAUUUAUGCCCUUUGGCCGGUUCGCCGCGCGGCUAAGUUCGCGCUGACGUCCUUCGACAUUGCGUUCAUGCUAGUGACAUUUCAAAGAUCAAUGUCGAAAGCUGAAAGACCGUGUCACUCUUCUAGCGACCCCUGUGACCCGGCGCUGCAUGCCGCAUGCGGCAUGGAGCUCACGGCAGCAAUGCUCAAUGGGUAUGUCUCCCCGCCACCUUGCAGUUGAGUUGGGGAAAAAACUCAAGGGAUUUUGGAUCUAGAGUUUUAGAUUUCGAGAAAAAUUUAGGUUUGGCUUUGGAUUUGCGUCUCUAGUUUGGACGAGUGUCUCUAUCCCUCUAUUUAUCGAGGAGGCGGCCACAAUCAUAGGUUGGGUAGCACCCUAAGGAAGAUGUGAAUUGUGAAGUUUUGCGGCAUCAUGUAUUCAAUUUCAGGAGGUAACGGAGUGAGCAUGGGAGACAGCAAGAGACUGUGGGUGCGAGUUUUGUAUCGGCUGACGACACGGAUGUCUUAUAUUGGCAGAAGGAAGAAAGUAGGGAAGGGCGCUCGUCGCAUGAAGAUUUUGGGAAUUUUUUGAUUGCAGAGAAGGGUCACAAGUUUGGGGGAUAAAUCAAAUCAGACUUUUAAGCGGUGGGCUACACUUUUGUGUAUAUUUAAUAAUCGAGCAUUUAACCACUCAACUUAGGAAACUACGUCGACUUUACCGAACUAUGCAACUUAACAAAUUUUAGAUUUAGAAAUACACUCCUGGAGUUUGUGGAUUUUCUUGUAAGUUGACGGACCUCCGAUGCAUUAUAAAAAAAAAUUCUAGCACAAGUUCAUAUGGAUGAGUGUCGUGCUCGUAUGCAAACACAUACUUUAUUUUCAAAAAAUACUAGCAGGUCCUAACUAGUUGUCACAGUGUCCUUUGUUCCACCAACCGGUAACCAGUAUAUUCUGCAAGUAGAGAAUCAUAUAGGAUUAUGUAGAUUUACCUUUUUUUUUUCCUCAACCGAAGUAUUUACCAUGAAAACGAGAGGCUAGCUGCAUGCUUGAUUUUUGAAAUUGAGGUGGUUAGGUUUGGCCUAAUGAGCAUGCUUAUAAAAAUUUAAGCCCUCAAUGUAUCUCGUGCGGUGCCGUGCUGUGUCCACUUGGGAGGUACACAAGCAAAAUUAAACAAUGGAGGCUACUGCCGCGAAGCUCAUCGGCAGGGAAAAGAUCACGGGCGCCACCGCGGCCCUGUUCGCUGGUUCCGUCGAGGUCCCUGAGAGGUUCCUCCGAACCAAGGAGCUCCAGGCAGCCGGUGUGGUCGUCGGCGACGACGAGACGUUCAAGCUGCCGGUGGUAAACAUGGCAAAGCUUCUUGAUCCGGAGCUGUCGGCGUCGGAGACGGCAAAGCUUGGCUCCGCCUGCAGAGGCUGGGGUUUCUUUCAGGUCAGCCAGGGUGGUCCUGUCCAGAAUAUCAUCCUGUAUGAUGAAAUUUAUGUUCUCCUCACAUACCAAAUUCCUUUUAUUCUGUAGUUAACAAACCAUGGCGUCGACGAAGCAGCGACGCAGCUGAUGAAGGACAGCACUGCACAGUUUUUCAACCUGCCACUUGAGAGCAAGAACACCGUGGCAGUCCGAGAAGGCGGUUUCGAAGGAUUUGGCCACCACUACAACGGAUCCUCAAGCGAUAAGCUGGACUGGGCAGAGAACCUGUUCCUCUACACGCAGCCAGUCCAGGACAGGGACAUGGAGUUCUGGCCUGCUAACCCACCCACCCUCAGGUACGUCCAUUUUCUCCAUUGCACGACUCCAUUUCCAUCGGAUCAUAUACCUUCGAGGCCUGAUCGAGGCAUGAACGGCGGCUCAACCGAUUGCAUCGGCGGUGGCAGGCACGCGCUCGACAGGUACUCCGUGGAGAUGACGGACCUUGCAAGGCGCGUGCUGGGUUUCAUGGCGGCCGACCUCGGGGUCAGUCGGGACGCGCUCCUAGGCGCCUUCUUCAGCCGGGACGACCACGACGACGACACCCUGAAGCCCAAGAUGCAGAGCGUGGCGAUGCACCACUACCCUCCGUGCCACCACGUGGACAAGGUGCUGGGCAUCGCCCCGCACACCGACACGCUGGGCCUGACCUUCCUGCUGCACGCUGACGACACGCCGGGCCUGCAGAUCAAGAGGGGCGGCAGGUGGUUCCCCGUGCGGCCGCUACCGGGCGCCUUCGUCGUCAACGUCGGCGACAUCCUCGAUGUUCUCACCAACGGCGCCUACGGCAGCGUCGAGCACAGGGUGGUCCCGGACGCCGAGAGGGGUCGCACCACCGUGGCGACGUUCCACGACGCGUGUGUCCGAGGGCAGGUGGCGCCGCUGCCGGAGCUACUCGGGGUAGGAGGCGGAGAGGUGGCGGCACGCUACAGGUCCAUCGGGAAACUUGAGUUCAGGAAGGGCAGCGCCAGAGCCACUGCCCAAGGGACUCGGUUCCUGGACACCAUCAGGAUGUAAACAACCGCAGCUACUUUACUUGGAUUGUUGCCACUGUCCAAGCUGAAUUGGAACAGAGUUUGCCAAGAAUUGUAUCUGAUGGCCGAGAAGAAUGACCAACACAUGCUCAUCUACGAAUGAGUCUUCCCUUGGCCGAUAAGUUUUGUGGAAAACUAAGUUAAUCCACGAACGCCGGAGAACAGUGAAAAGUCGAUGCAGGAAUGCAGCAAGUGUCCUUGCGCUUUUUUUUUUUUUUUUUACAAAAGAACGCAAGCAGCGAACUGAUGCCAUUAGAAGAGUGGAACAUAUGCAGCGGUAUGGACUAUGGAAUAAUAGCAACAAGCUGUUCAAUAUGUCAUUAGCUUUCUGAAUCAAUACGUAGGUGACCUUUCCCGUAAUAACAUAUUAUAUCAAGUGUAACUAACGUUUUUUAAACAAAAUUAUUAUGUGGAUACUGCUUAGUUUUCUAGUACACUUUUAAAUUACACGCAACUCAACUUUAGUAAAAAAAUUACACACGCGCGUCACGAGCCAGCGGAAACAAAAGGCUUCACGACACUCGAGUGGGACAAAUUAAUCUAGAUAACUGUAGCCCCCUUGCAGGGCUUAUCGUGACAGGGCUUAUCCUGACCGUUGGUAGAGCUUCAGCUCCAGCUUCUCCUGACUCCUCUGGCUCCUUUGAUAGGGCUCCAGCUCAGACUUCUCCUGCAGCUCUAACUGAAGCCCUACCAAACACUUUGUAAAAAAACAGCUCCAUUUCUAGAACACCAAAUGAGCCAGAGCCAUUGCCAGAGCCAAAAACAAGUGCAGCCAAAAACAAGUGGCUCCUCUAGAUCCUCCCCAUUUUAGGAGCCGGAGCCGUACAGAAGGCAUAGUCAAAUCAACUAGCUAACUACUGAGCCGACUAUCACAACACCAAAUAAAUCCAAGAGAAUAUGAAUUAUGAAACUACGCAUCUUCUGUAUCUACGAAACCAUGGGUCGACUAAGCAGUAAUCCAGCAGACGAAGACACUAGCAUCGUGUGUAGUUUGUUCCUGCAGUCAUGAAAAUUUUGAAUAAUGGGCAUUGGCCAUACUGGUCUAGCUGUUAGUUAAGUGCAAUAUCCAUAUACUGAAAACAAUUCACUAUUUGUUACUUAGCAAAAUUCCAUUGAUAGAGCGUGUCAAAAAAAUACCAACUGCAAAGUUACCCAGGACCUGCAGAAAAUGUGUUCAUACCAACUCCUUGCAUGAACCAGCCACUGCUCCUUGGUCCUCAUGAAUCUCUUCAACAGGUAUUCAUGCAUCUGGAUCUGGGAGGGUCUACCAGCCAGCCCAAGUCAAUUUGUACAAAUUCUGGAGAACAUGCUACAAAAACAUUACCAAGUACAUGAUGAAGACACUCCAAUGGAACCACUGUCCCUCACAAAGCAACAGGCGAUGCGGUAACAAAUGCAGAACCACUCAUCGCCCGCAGUAAAGCUGAGUGAGGCAAUUCAUGUAGUCACCUUUGAACCAGGAGCCAGCACAGGUAGCUAGGCCUGCUGUGAAGGUGACAAUCAUGCAUAAACAAGCUGAGUUAAAUUGAAUUUAUCAUAAGCAAUGGCAGAAGAAUUACAUAAUCACAAUCAAGGAGUACAAACGGCGGAACAGGGCUAAACUUUUCACGUCCAAAGUUAUAUUGCUGUGCAAAUAUUGUCAACGUACAACAGGACUGAUAACAUUUACAUCAGUAUUCAAGCAGCAGGGGCUACAUCUACUGAAGCUGAGUGAUGAUUCACUUCACUGAGACUUGGCAACAGGCUCCAGCGCCUCGAUCAUGACAACACUAUUUCCCCUGAUAACCUGCAGAUGAACGCUGGUCAGCAUAUGAUGAUGUAUAUAACCAAUCCAAUCUGAAGUACAUGUUAAAAUUACUAACAACACUCAGCAAAAGGUAACCUACCACCAUUCCAAUAUCAGUCUUGUCAUUUCCAUUGACCUCAACAGUGUUAUCCACCACCAGAUUCAUGAACUGAUCAAAUCCUCGGAGUGUGCCAAUAACAACACGGUUUGCAUUCAGCUUGACUGGAGAAAUGAUCAAACAGGAAAAAAUUAGCCACUAAAUAUCUGUAUACCACUAUGAACAUCUUCUAGUCACCUAACAGUCAUUAACAAACAGAUUGAACUGCCCAGAAUACUUUAAACAAGUAUUGCUGGUUAAAAAAACUAAACUACAAAAUGAGCAGCAGGCAUAUCACACUUUGGUUGUGCUAGUUACUGUCACAUUUCACACUAUGCAGAAGAAUUGCUUCCUUCCAGUGGAUCGAAUUUGAUGCAAAAUUCAUAAAGCCAAAGUGGUUCUUACAAAAAAAACACUUGGAAAGUAAAGUAUGAUUUGUUUCUGGCCACCAGUUUGAUAGAGCUAUUCAGACCACGAACAGCAGCUAUCGGAUCCCUGAAAUAUAAAUUCAAAAAGGUUGAUAUGGCAGCCUAUCAGAGUAACUAUGACAAUAAAAAGCCUCAUUUGGAACUUAAUCCAUAGCUUUUUGAAAUAUCAUCAUCAUGUAGGGCAGCCAUCCAUCACAGAUCAACAAAAGAAACAAGUAUGAAAACUAAUGAGAAAACAUGACAGUAGACCUUAAUGUCUACUCACCACUCUCUAUCAUAAACAUGAAUACAGAGUACCAAAAGAAUUGCAACUAUCAGAAGACUGACCUCAAUACAGUAUACCAUUCUAAAGAUGAAAUGAAAAAGCGAGUAUUCAUGCCCUAUCAGAGUAACUAUGACAUUAAGCUUCAUCUGGAGAUAAAUCCAUAGCUUUGAUAUAAUGUUCAUCAUAUAGGGCAAAAUACGAAAUCACAAACGAAGCACAUAAAAGAUGCAUAAUCAUCAUGCAUGAUCAGCCUUGAAAACAAACUAGAAACACAAGAUUUUUAAUGAUGCAACUGCAACUCCUGGAGAAAUAAAAUAGAAUUUGGUUCAGCUAAGCUAACAAGGAGCAAAUAUCACAUCUUCCCCACUUGGUGGGGAGAUUAAGGGAUGUUUUGGAUAUCACAUUCCCCACUAUUGAAGUGCUGCUAGUGAGAAUGUGGUAUAGUUAGUCGAUUUACUCAAAAACUGGGUACCGCCUAAUCACCAAUCGCUAAGAUUAAACAUACUGGGCACGCACGUUCCGUCUUUAACAUCAAAGGAAACCUUAUUCACACAAGAAACUUCUCGGAGGCAAAACGACAGGGAAACUAUUGGGAUUUGUGAUUUGAAGUCGAGAGAUUCACUUACUCUGAAGCUUCUUGUCCAUGUACCUGCGACGCCACAAGAGACAAACCAAAAUCAGCAUAAAGGAGCGGAAUAGACCAAGAUCUAACUAUGAACAGAGUCAGAUGCUGCGAGCGCUUACUUCUUGAGAUCCGGAGGCUGCCCCGAUCGGCUCAUGGCGGCUACCUAGCCUCGAACGCGGGACGGGUGUAGGGAGCUCUGGGAGCUUCGCCCGGCCUUCUCCUCGAGACGAAACCCUAGCAGCAGCCGAGGACCCGAAGCGGAAGCGAGCAGUCCAGCUUUAAAAGGGGCGGGCGGGGAGGUCAGGGGAGGCAGCAGCCAGCCGCCGCCGCCUCCAACUCCAAAACCCUAACGCGAUCGAGACGUUGAGGCCUUCAGGCCGUAGGUUCGAGUAGUCAUGUGGGCCGUCAACGAGCUCCAGCUGCUGUUUGCAGGAGGCCCAUGAGCAGCUCGUCCCUGUGGGCUCCAAGAAUUGGAACGGCCCAAGAUCAGCAUCCGCCGGCCCAUCGCAUCCACCGCCGCUCUCGAUGUGAGGGAAAAAAACAGCCUACAUGAAUUAUCACCCCCAACAAACUACGUGUAUACAUUGAAUAUGUUACUGCAGACUGUUAGUGACGCUUUACACAUCGGUGUUCCAAGUGUUAUCUAACUACUAUCGCAUCAUCUUGAAAACAAAGAAAGCCGAGUGUUGUGCUGCUGUCGUCACCAUUCACCAGACUAUUGAAUCAGUUUCACAAAUUGUUGCAUUCUCCAACCGCUAGCACAUCAGCUUUUGCUUCCAGCACACAGGUCAUUGCAGUCUUCGUGAUAAUGGUUUGUAGGAUUGUCUCAUUAAUGUGUUUAUAUUCUGGCACCUUGUUUAGAACUAAACCAUAACUUUAAAUCUUUCUUACACUGAUGGAAAACCCACCUUUAGCUCCGGUUGGAUAGAGCUAUAGAUCCCGAAAAUCCAAUCGAGACUAAGUUUUCGAGACAAAAGAGGGACUUCUUUAGUUCCGGGUCAUUACCCCCUUUAGUCCCGGUUGGUAUUACCAACUGGGAUUAAAAGAAAAGGUGCCCUGCUCCGCUCCGCCGGGCCCACGCUAGGCUCGCCAGGCUCCCGCCGGCUGGCCACCCGUACAUGCCCCCGGCACACCGCUCGCCCUGUAAGAGGAGAGAAGAUAAGGGAUGAGAGAGGAGGAAAGAAGAUAAAGGAGGGGACAGCAGGAGAUAAGGUGGAAAGAGAGAGUGGGGGAGAUAAAGACUCCAUGAAAACAUUUAGUCUCGGUUGGAAUUAACAAUCAGGACUAAAGGAGAGCCUCUAGUUGGUUGUGUUUUCAACCGGGAUAAAAACUCCCCUCGUCCUACUAGCUGUUACAACCGGGACUAAAGGAGACUCUUUAGUCCCGGUUCCCGGUUGGUAAUUCCAACCGGGGAUUAAAGGGAGGGCCUUUAGUUCCGGUUGUAUUUUCAACCGGUUGAUAUUACUAACCGGGACUAAAGAACUCCUGUUGGUGGUCAUUGGUGGUGGAUUUUUGACCCGGAGCUAAAGGCAUUUUAAUCCCGAGUCUAAAGUCAACCGGAACAAAAGUUCCUGGACGGAAGAUCGUAUGCUUCACUUGAGUAUUAAUAAAAUCUUAAUGCGAGCCACGGGCCAAGCGCGCGGGACAAAUUAGCAUACGUGUUCGAUCAUGCGAGCCGCGCGGCAAACAAUUAACUAGUUCUUACUCUUAAACAAAAACCACAUUCUAUAAGCCUAUUAAUCCCACUCCCAUCCCUUUGACCAACAAAAUCGCGCCCAAUUAGCAGGUACUAACGCGGAGUGCAAUGGAGGCUGCUGCCGCCAAGCUCAUCAGCAGGGAUAGGAUCACGGACGCCGCCGCGACCUUGUUCAGCACCAACUCCGUCAAGCAGAUCCCUGAGAGGUUCAUCCGGACCGACGAGCUCCAGGCAGCCGGCGCGGUCGUCAGCGAUGGUGAGGCGUUCGAGCUGCCUGUGGUGGACAUGGCAAAGCUCCUGGAUCCGGAGUCGUCGGCGUCGGAGACGGCAAAGCUUGGCUCCGCGUGCAGAGACUGGGGUUUCUUUCAGGUCAGGAUCGAUCUCCGUUUUCCCUCGCAUAUUAUUGUGACAUAUCAAGGGAUCAAAAAUUCUCCGUGAAUUGCGUGAAACUUUGAUCUUUUUGUCAUAAUCGAAAUCACUGUUCAUCCUACUCACCGAAAGAUCUACCUUUUUAACUCAAAUUUCACCUAAAAUUUCGCGAUGGAAACCGAAAAAUGCCAAAAAAAACAAAAUUUAAAACCCUCAUAUGAGCUACUUAUGAGCUAUGAUACCUCCUUCCCCGUAGCUGACGAACCAUGGAGUUGACGAGGCGGUGAUACAGCGCAUGAAAGAAAGCGCUGCAGAGUUCUUCAGCUUGCCACUGGAAAGCAAGAACGCCAUAGCGUUUCAAGGGGGCGGCGACAAGUUCCAGGGGUUCGGCCACCAUUUCAGCGGUGGGUCAUCGGCUGGUAAGCUUGACUGGGCAGAGUGCGUGCUCCUCGUCACGCAGCCAGUCCAAGGCAGGAAAACGGAGCUGUGGCCUGCUAACCCGCCAUCAUUUAGGUCUGUGUGGCUGUGUGUUCAUGUCCAUUAUCAUGCAUCCUCGUUCCGACCAGUUUCCUUUUAUUCCAUUCAGUAAUUUUCUAGUCUAAUUAAUCUUCUGCUCCAUGAUGGAUUCCGCCAGAGGCACGCUUGACAAGUACUCCAUGGAGAUGACGGGUCUUGCAAGGCGGCUGCUCAGAUUCAUGGCGAUUGACCUUGGCGUCAGCCAAGAGGCCCUCCUUGACGCCUUCUUCAGUGGGGACGCCGAGAAGGGGCAGAGCAUGGCGAUGCACCACUACCCUCCGUGCCGCCACCCGGAGAAGGUGCUGGGCAUCCCACCGCACACCGACGGGCUGGGCCUGACGGUGCUGCUGCACGCCGACGACACGCCGGGCCUGCAGAUCAAGAGGGGCGGCAGGUGGUUCCCCGUGCGGCCGCUCCCGGGCGCCUUCGUCGUCAACGUCGGCGACAUCCUCAAUGUUCUCACCAACGGCGCGUACGCCAGCGUCGAGCACAGGGUGGUCCCGGACGCUGAGAGGGGCCGGACCACCGUCGUGGUGUUCCAGGAUGCUUCCGUUGAUGGGAUGGUGAAGCCGUUCCCGGAGCUCCUCGGGGGAGAUGAGGCGCAGGCACGCUAUAAUUCCAUCGGGAAGCUUGAGUACACCGAGGGCAACUUCAGAGCACUGGGCGAAGGCACACGGUUCCUAGAGAGCCUGAAGAAGUAGAAUGCUCGUUUCAAAAGAAGUAGAAUGCACGCACCAGCUACAUGUGCAUCCAAGAUCUCAACACCGAAGCAACUUCUCAAGAAAGAGCUGUGUACGUGCUCCUUUGUUGCUUGUGUCUCAAAUCAAGUUCUCAAAGUGAUCUCCAUUCCAGAAUACAAAAAUAAAAGCAUCCUUGUUUUGUAAAUUGUAAUGUGCAAUGUACCUUUGAUAUUCUUUAAGGCCUUAAGAUAAUUAUCAGUAUCUUUAAGGUUAAAAACCCAGGAUAUUGGGAUCAUUUAAGACGUUACUAAAAGCUGCUGAUCGGUGAACUGAUGGACUUCGUUCAACCCAUGGCAGCAUAUAUAGUCCAGGGAUCAGAGGCGGGAUGGAAGGAGGCAGCGGGCAUCCUAAAAUUUCAAUUUUGAUUGAUUAUGGCGCGUCCAUGAAAAUUUUUGAUCUCUCUUUGAGCGGGCUACUAAAUCUCCAUGGAGAAUUUGGAAGUGGCACGAGGAUUUCGGCUAUUUUGGUUGGUGCGGUUUCUUUCGUCUAGGCAUGUGAAAUUUCGUAGGGGAAGAGGCGAUGCGUGGAUGGUAGGUGCGGCAAGGGAGAGACAGGCCAGGUUAAGUGGGAGGGAACGAUCAGUGCACCGUGGGACAUGAAGCGCUUCCCUGGAGCACUGGAUGGAAGUAUGGAACGGAGUAACUCAGCCUAGCUAGCUCAUUUGUUCAACAAAUGAGAUUAACUUCUCAUUUGUCUCUGCGUUAGUCGCUUACGCGCAGAUCAACCGUGGACGGAGGGAGUAAAUUAAAGUAGCAUGAGAACUUAAUUAAUUAGCACAUGACUUUUCCUAUGUCUUUUUCUGAGUACACCCUCACUAGCGAGGUGCACCUAGUACACCUAUACAACUAGCUUGAAGAAGUAGCUCGUAGCAUCGUGACAUUAUGGCCUGGUUUGGUUCCAUUUGCUUAUUUUUAAGCAAGUGUCACAUCAAUAUUUAGAUACGAAUUGAGACUAUGAGCCACAUACUAUUGCUAGGUUCCUUUGCGUACUUGGAGGCUCUCGCGAGAGAGGGAGUACUCAGAAAUAGAUAUAGCAAAAGUCGUGUGUGAGUUAAUUCAGUUCUCAUGCUACUUAUAAUUGACUACUCGUCACGGGUGGAUCUGCGCGUGAGCGACGACGCAUAGGCNNNNNNNNNNNNNNNNNNNNNNNNNNNNNNNNNNNNNNNNNNNNNNNNNNNNNNNNNNNNNNNNNNNNNNNNNNNNNNNNNNNNNNNNNNNNNNNNNNNNNNNNNNNNNNNNNNNNNNNNNNNNNNNNNNNNNNNNNNNNNNNNNNNNNNNNNNNNNNNNNNNNNNNNNNNNNNNNNNNNNNNNNNNNNNNNNNNNNNNNNNNNNNNNNNNNNNNNNNNNNNNNNNNNNNNNNNNNNNNNNNNNNNNNNNNNNNNNNNNNNNNNNNNNNNNNNNNNNNNNNNNNNNNNNNNNNNNNNNNNNNNNNNNNNNNNNNNNNNNNNNNNNNNNNNNNNNNNNNNNNNNNNNNNNNNNNNNNNNNNNNNNNNNNNNNNNNNNNNNNNNNNNNNNNNNNNNNNNNNNNNNNNNNNNNNNNNNNNNNNNNNNNNNNNNNNNNNNNNNNNNNNNNNNNNNNNNNNNNNNNNNNNNNNNNNNNNNNNNNNNNNNNNNNNNNNNNNNNNNNNNNNNNNNNNNNNNNNNNNNNNNNNNNNNNNNNNNNNNNNNNNNNNNNNNNNNNNNNNNNNNNNNNNNNNNNNNNNNNNNNNNNNNNNNNNNNNNNNNNNNNNNNNNNNNNNNNNNNNNNNNNNNNNNNNNNNNNNNNNNNNNNNNNNNNNNNNNNNNNNNNNNNNNNNNNNNNNNNNNNNNNNNNNNNNNNNNNNNNNNNNNNNNNNNNNNNNNNNNNNNNNNNNNNNNNNNNNNNNNNNNNNNNNNNNNNNNNNNNNNNNNNNNNNNNNNNNNNNNNNNNNNNNNNNNNNNNNNNNNNNNNNNNNNNNNNNNNNNNNNNNNNNNNNNNNNNNNNNNNNNNNNNNNNNNNNNNNNNNNNNNNNNNNNNNNNNNNNNNNNNNNNNNNNNNNNNNNNNNNNNNNNNNNNNNNNNNNNNNNNNNNNNNNNNNNNNNNNNNNNNNNNNNNNNNNNNNNNNNNNNNNNNNNNNNNNNNNNNNNNNNNNNNNNNNNNNNNNNNNNNNNNNNNNNNNNNNNNNNNNNNNNNNNNNNNNNNNNNNNNNNNNNNNNNNNNNNNNNNNNNNNNNNNNNNNNNNNNNNNNNNNNNNNNNNNNNNNNNNNNNNNNNNNNNNNNNNNNNNNNNNNNNNNNNNNNNNNNNNNNNNNNNNNNNNNNNNNNNNNNNNNNNNNNNNNNNNNNNNNNNNNNNNNNNNNNNNNNNNNNNNNNAGAGGCUAAACGGCGAGACGAAUCUAUUAAGCCUAAUUAGUCCAUGAUUUGACAAUGUGUUGCUACAGUAAACAUUUGCUAAUGAUGGAUUAAUUAGGCUUAAUAGGUUCGUCUCGCUGUUUAGCCUCCACUUAUGUAAUGGGUUUUGUAAAUAGCCUACGUUUAACACUCCUAAUUAGUAUCUAAACAUUGAUGUGACACUUGCUUAAAAAUAAGCAAAGGGAACCAAACGCCCCCUAUAUAUGCUUGGAUAUGCUUGGCUUUUUAUUUAGUGCCAAAGAAACGUGCCGUUGGCACUAAAACCCUGU
RNAcentral lists this long non-coding RNA (27751 nucleotides) under Setaria italica (foxtail millet). RNAcentral describes it as "long non-coding RNA (SITA_LNC007105)". Lineage: Eukaryota; Viridiplantae; Streptophyta; Magnoliopsida; Poales; Poaceae. The record is from RNAcentral.